GACGAACGCUGGCGGCGUGCUUAACACAUGCAAGUCGAACGGUAAGGCCCUUCGGGUACACGAGUGGCGAACGGGUGAGUAACACGUGGGUGAUCUGCCCUGCACUUCGGGAUAAGCCUGGGAAACUGGGUCUAAUACCGGAUAGGACUCCUGGCUUCAUGGUUGGGGGUGUAAAGCUUUUGCGGUGUGGGAUGGGCCCGCGGCCUAUCAGCUUGUUGGUGGGGUAAUGGCCUACCAAGGCGACGACGGGUAGCCGGCCUGAGAGGGUGACCGGCCACACUGGGACUGAGAUACGGCCCAGACUCCUACGGGAGGCAGCAGUGGGGAAUAUUGCACAAUGGGCGCAAGCCUGAUGCAGCGACGCCGCGUGAGGGAUGACGGCCUCGGUU
Molecule: ribosomal RNA, 389 nt
Filed under: uncultured bacterium
Lineage: Bacteria
Description: bacterial SSU rRNA
Rfam family: Bacterial small subunit ribosomal RNA
Source: RNAcentral